Molecule: ribosomal RNA, 429 nt
Filed under: uncultured bacterium
Lineage: Bacteria
Description: bacterial SSU rRNA
Rfam family: Bacterial small subunit ribosomal RNA
Source: RNAcentral
UUGAUCAUGGCUCAGAAUCAACGCUGGCGGCGUGCCUAACACAUGCAAGUCGAGCGAGAAAAGGGGAGCAAUCCCCUGAGUACAGCGGCGCACGGGUGAGUAACACGUGGGUAAUCUGCCCUGGAGUGGGGAAUAACACCGGGAAACCGGUGCUAAUACCGCAUACGAUCACAGAGUCUGCGGAUUUUGUGAUGAAAGGAGCAAUUCGCUCUAGGAGGAGCCCGCGGCUGAUUAGCUAGUUGGUGAGGUAAUGGCUCACCAAGGCAACGAUCAGUAUCCGGUCUGAGAGGACGGUCGGACACACUGGAACUGAGACACGGUCCAGACUCCUACGGGAGGCAGCAGUGGGGAAUUUUUGGCAAUGGGGGCAACCCUGACCAAGCAACGCCGCGUGGGUGAUGAAGUCUCUUGGGACGUAAAACCCUUUCG